This is a long non-coding RNA of Coregonus clupeaformis (lake whitefish), 179 nucleotides long. RefSeq lists it as uncharacterized. The transcript is spliced from 3 exons. Lineage: Eukaryota; Metazoa; Chordata; Actinopteri; Salmoniformes; Salmonidae. The record is from RefSeq and is a predicted model, not a curated record.
GUUGUCCAUGUCUCUACCCAGGCUGCUGUGUAGUCUACUAGUGAUGUCUCCCUACCUGCUGGUGACCAUCAUACUGCUGGUGAAAUACUGCAGGAGCAGGACUCAAGGGGAAACCAGGGUACCCAGGAAGACACACCAAGACCAAUUAGGUGAUCGUGUUGAAGAAGAGUGAGGCUGAG